UAGCGGCAGGCUUAACACAUGCAAGUCGAGGGGUAACAGGAAAUAGCUUGCUAUUUUGCUGACGACCGGCGCACGGGUGCGUAACGCGUAUAGAACCUACCUUUUACAGGGGAAUAGCCCAGAGAAAUUUGGAUUAAUGCCCCAUAGUAUUAUUGAAUGGCAUCAUUUAAUAAUUAAACAUUUAUGGGUAAAAGAUGGCUAUGCGUUCUAUUAGCUAGAUGGUAAGGUAACGGCUUACCAUGGCAACGAUAGAUAGGGGUCCUGAGAGGGAGAUCCCCCACACUGGUACUGAGACACGGACCAGACUCCUACGGGAGGCAGCAGUGAGGAAUAUUGGACAAUGGAGGCAACUCUGAUCCAGCCAUGCCGCGUGCAGGAAGACGGCCCUAUGGGUUGUAAACUGCUUUUAUAUAGGAAGAAACCUUUCCACGUGUGGAGAGCUGACGGUACUAUAAGAAUAAGCACCGGCUAACUCCGUGC
RNAcentral lists this ribosomal RNA (480 nucleotides) under marine sediment bacterium ISA-1168. RNAcentral's name for it is "bacterial SSU rRNA". It matches the Rfam family "Bacterial small subunit ribosomal RNA", at positions 37 to 508 of the family's 1533-position model. The record is from RNAcentral.